GGUGGUGAAACUUCCGAUAAGGGUAAGGAGAUUGUACCCGAAGAUCGAGACUAGGAGUACUUCGACUCCCGAUAUUGUGAGUAACCUUAUUAUCAUCUUAAUUAUCUAAAAUAGCUUUUAUUCAUUUUUGUGAUUUUAUAGAAAAAUGAGUUUAAAUGGUAAAUCCUUAUGUUUUAUAAGUAAAAUGUGAUUAAAUGAAAUGAGUUUUGUAAAUCAUUUUGAAAUUGAAUGAUGAUUUUAGAAAUGAAGUAAUUGGAGACUGUUUGAUUGUGCUGUAAAUUUAUGGUUUGAAUUGAAUGGCUUAUGGUGAUAUUGGCAUGAAUGGCUGAAUCAGAAAUUGUGUUGAAAUUGUAUGAACUAUUUGUUUUGCCUUAAUAGGUUGGGUAGUAAUAUAAUUGCCAUGUCAUACUGUCGAAACUUUUAUUAAUUUGGUGGGAUAUUGAUUAGUCAUUGCAGUGGUGGGUUUCCGUGGACCAACUUAUUAAAGAGGGGCACGGUAAACCCAGUUAUAUUUUACCUCGAUACAAGAGGCGCGAAGGGUAUCUCCUGAGGUAAAGCUUUAGAGUUCACUACACGCUAAACCACCACGUGAGGGUGAACUCAGCGAAUGCCAAGGAAC
Molecule: long non-coding RNA, 619 nt
Filed under: Theobroma cacao (cacao)
Lineage: Eukaryota; Viridiplantae; Streptophyta; Magnoliopsida; Malvales; Malvaceae
Description: long non-coding RNA (TCAC_LNC005562)
Source: RNAcentral